UUGAAAUUCUUUAAUACACGAAUAUAAAAACAAAAUAUAGAAAACAAAGUAGAUGAAGGGAGAUACAAGCCAGGAAUUAAGAAAAUCCAUUUGCAAAAACUAAAAAUGUCAAGACAUUAAAGUGCGCAUAGGCAACACUUUAAGUUAACAAAAACAACACAAAAGUAACAUUGACCAAAGGAAAAGAUACAAAACAAACAAAAAACAAAAUAUAGCAACAAAUUUGAAUUAAGAAAAAACCAACAACAAUUCUAAAGCAGAAGCAGCAGUUGUCAACACAGCGGGAAACUGGUUUUUGAUAAAUGUGCAUUUUGGGAAUUCAAAAAAGACAUCGUCAGACAACCACAAUAACGAAGUGUCUGACUAGCUUACCGUCGUUCAUGUACUUUUGUUUUUGGCUUUUUGUUGGUGUUUGAAAAAAAAAAAAGAAAAAGGAGAUGAAAAAUACUUAAAAACUUUUUUUCGAGUAAAUUUUCUACUACAAUUUAGUAUUUUUUUCAUUAUCGUGCCAUUUUAUAGUUGUAUGUUGUGGGUAAGCUGAAAUUUAAGUGGCAAAAUAUUUGACUUGUGAUAAAUAAGUUACAACUAAUUUUACACACUGUUAGCAUUUCAACAUUUCUGCACAUGUAGACCCAGAUGGCGGCGGAAAUUUAAUGAGCUAAGAAACAGUUGAACUUGGAAUCUGUAUAUAAGAACUAUACUUCCGAUUUCCGAUUCACUUAGUCCGUGUGAUCACAAAUGUAUAAAGUUAACCAGAAAAAGUCAAUACAAUAGAUAUCUACAUAUGUACAUAUUUGAGGAGAGUCAAGUAUCGAAAAUAGCAAUAACGUCCGAAAAUAAAAAAUAAUACAGUUUAGACCGCAGUUUUUUCAGAAAUGCACAGUCCACAUCAUUGUAGUAGAUAAAAAUAAGGAUGAAUAAUUACAAUAUUCGGCUGAAAUACAAAUGGACUAAUGCAAGGAUGGAAAAACUAUUUGUGCCUUAAAAUCUGUUGAUGCAGUAAUACAUUGCGAGGAACAUUAAUUUACGCCAAGAAACAACUUCAAAACCUAUAGUACACACAUAAAUACCAGACAUCAGCAGGCACUGACUGUGUAAGUAAUAAAAAAUGAAUAUUGCAACAACAACUAACGUAAAGAAGAAAUAAACAAAAGAGAAGCGAAUAAAAGAAGAAAACGAAGUGAAAUAUUCAGAAAAUUGUAUUGCAUGCAAGAAACAAUUUCAUGUCAUAAUGAAUGUUAUUACAAAACUCUAGCAACAACAAUAUGCAGUUGUUUUUGUUGGUUAUUGUCAUAAAACAUAUUUUUUUACAUUUUUAAUUAUUAACUCAUAAUAAUUUAUCGUAGAUGUAUUAGGGUAUUUUUUUUUAGAUUGUUUAUAAAGAUACGAAUGUAGAAGCCAUUAAAAAACUCUGAAAAUGAUGGUAAAACUUCAAAAGGUAUAGCGCAAAAUUUACAAUAACAAUAGUGACAAUUUUAUUUUGUUAAUUAUCUUUUUUUGGAAUUUGUAAACAUAUAAUGAAAAGUAAAAAGCUACAUGAUCAGCUGUUUACUUUUCGUUUUACUUUAUAAGUUUAAGGACCAGUUUUUUACGUGUGUGUAAUAGUAAAUAUAUGUAUAGUGGAUUGAG
Long non-coding RNA from Lucilia sericata (common green bottle fly), 1629 nucleotides. RefSeq lists it as uncharacterized. The record is from RefSeq and is a predicted model, not a curated record. Lineage: Eukaryota; Metazoa; Arthropoda; Insecta; Diptera; Calliphoridae. The transcript is spliced from 3 exons.